RNAcentral lists this ribosomal RNA (112 nucleotides) under Caerostris darwini. The record is from RNAcentral. Lineage: Eukaryota; Metazoa; Arthropoda; Arachnida; Araneae; Araneidae.
AACGGCCGUACCAUGCUGAAUUUACCGGUUCUCGUUAGAUCACCGAAGUUAAGCAUCAUUGGGCGCGGUCAGUACUUGGGUGGGUGACCACCUGGGAACACUGCGUGCCGUU